RNAcentral lists this ribosomal RNA (882 nucleotides) under uncultured bacterium. RNAcentral's name for it is "bacterial SSU rRNA". It matches the Rfam family "Bacterial small subunit ribosomal RNA", at positions 511 to 1382 of the family's 1533-position model. The record is from RNAcentral.
GCAGCCCGCGGUAAUACGGAGGGCGCGAGCGUUACCCGGAUUUACUGGGCGUAAAGGGCGUGUAGGCGGCUUGGGGCGUCCCAUGUGAAAGGCCACGGCUCAACCGUGGAGGAGCGUGGGAUACGCUCAGGCUAGACGGUGGGAGAGGGUGGUGGAAUUCCCGGAGUAGCGGUGAAAUGCGCAGAUACCGGGAGGAACGCCGAUGGCGAAGGCAGCCACCUGGUCCACAUGUGACGCUGAGGCGCGAAAGCGUGGGGAGCAAACCGGAUUAGAUACCCGGGUAGUCCACGCCCUAAACGAUGCGCGCUAGGUCUCUGGGUUAUCUGGGGGCCGAAGCCAACGCGUUAAGCGCGCCGCCUGGGGAGUACGGCCGCAAGGCUGAAACUCAAAGGAAUUGACGGGGGCCCGCACAAGCGGUGGAGCACGUGGUUUAAUUCGAUGCAAAGCGAAGAACCUUACCCGGGCUUGACAUGCCAGGGUUGUACCCCGGUGGAAACACUGGGGGAGCGUGGGGUUUUCUCACGCGCUCUGGCACAGGUGCUGCAUGGCUGUCGUCAGCUCGCGUCGUGAGAUGUUGGGUUAAGUCCCGCAACGAGCGCAACCCCUGCCCUUAGUUGCUACCGGGUAAAGCCGGGCACUCUAAGGGGACUGCCGGGGAUAACCCGGAGGAAGGAGGGGAUGACGUCAAGUCCUCAUGGCCCUUACGCCCGGGGCUACACACGUGCUACAAUGGGGGGUACAGAGGAUUGCGAACCCGCAAGGGGGAGCUAAUCCCAGAAAGCCCUCCUCAGUUCGGAUCGGGGUCUGCAACUCGACCCCGUGAAGCCGGAAUCGCUAGUAAUGGCGGAUCAGCAUGCCGCCGUGAAUACGUUCCCGGGCCUU